Molecule: ribosomal RNA, 429 nt
Filed under: Acidobacteriota bacterium
Lineage: Bacteria; Pseudomonadati; Acidobacteriota
Description: Acidobacteria bacterium partial 16S ribosomal RNA
Rfam family: Bacterial small subunit ribosomal RNA
Source: RNAcentral
UGGGGAAUUUUGGACAAUGGGGGAAACCCUGAUCCAGCCAUCCCGCGUGUGCGAUGAAGGCCUUCGGGUUGUAAAGCACUUUUGGCAGGAAAGAAACGUCAUGGGUUAAUACCCCGUGAAACUGACGGUACCUGCAGAAUAAGCACCGGCUAACUACGUGCCAGCAGCCGCGGUAAUACGUAGGGUGCAAGCGUUAAUCGGAAUUACUGGGCGUAAAGCGUGCGCAGGCGGUUCGGAAAGAAAGAUGUGAAAUCCCAGAGCUCAACUUUGGAACUGCAUUUUUAACUACCGGGCUAGAGUGUGUCAGAGGGAGGUGGAAUUCCGCGUGUAGCAGUGAAAUGCGUAGAUAUGCGGAGGAACACCGAUGGCGAAGGCAGCCUCCUGGGAUAACACUGACGCUCAUGCACGAAAGCGUGGGCAGCAAACAGG